Mauremys reevesii (Reeves's turtle) is the source of this 613-nucleotide long non-coding RNA. RefSeq lists it as uncharacterized. NCBI's taxonomy places the organism in Eukaryota, Metazoa, Chordata, Testudines, Geoemydidae. The record is from RefSeq and is a predicted model, not a curated record. The transcript has 4 exons.
CCCCAGAGGAGGAUUGGGGGCCCCAGGAGUCAACAGGCUGGCAUUUAGAAAAUUCAUCUUUUCAUUCAUCAUGUGAGAGAAUCUGAGCUGGAAAUCAGUGGGAGACAAUGCAUAUAGAAUCUUGCAAUGCCAUUAUUUUCAGGGUAGAAUUGCACUUUCAGCCUCACAGCACCCCUUGGAAACAGGAGUUCACAAGGAGCAGAGGAUAAUACCAGUAACUCAGGAGAGCACAGUUUUGUGAGAAAAUAUCAAUAAAGUGCAAUUAUUCCCUCACCGGGCCAUAUGUGCAUCACAUUGGCAGACAUAGCCCAAACCCUGCAACUGCUGGAAAAUUUCAGAGGCAAGAUUCUUUAAAAGAAGCAGUGCCUAGGAGCCCCAGUCACGAACCAGGACACCACUGUACAAGAUGCUGGACAAAAACAGAAUACAAAAAAAACCAGACCCUGCCCCAAGGAGUUUAAAAUCUGUGUAUAAGAUAAGAGACAACAGGUGGAUACAGACAGAAGGGGGAGUAGAAGGAAACAAUAUUGGCACGUUUGAUCGGCAUACCAGCAGCCUAAAAACUGUCAAACCUCUCCUAUGCCAUGAUACCUAUGGUUCCAACAGCAUACAU